AUGUUCCGACGAACACCGUCAGGAAGCACACAACAACACCCAAAUCGCUCACCCCAGAACGCGACCACCCCAACCGAUAAUAGACCUUUGCUCCGACCAACCUUGCAACACCGCCGAAAACGCCUAAAGCUUCUGUCGUCGAUGCAACCCCGCGGAUCCACUCUGACACAUCACGGCGCACACAUCAACAACCCCCAAAUCUCGCUCAGUACUACUGCAACCGCUGUCAUCAUCACUCACUGUCGCGAAUGCGCUGGCGUCGCAAAACCAUACCACUGGCACAAGUCACGAUUCCGACAUCUUUGA
Molecule: non-coding RNA, 306 nt
Organism: Vicia faba (fava bean)
Lineage: Eukaryota; Viridiplantae; Streptophyta; Magnoliopsida; Fabales; Fabaceae
Source: the annotation of a GenBank genome assembly